ACACCUCAACUCUCGUGGUUUGCCACGAUGAGCUUGGACUUUGGGGGUCUUGCUGGCCUACGGUCGGCUCCUCUUAAAUGAAUCAGCUUGCCAGUGUUUGGUGGCAUCACAGGUGUGAUAACUAUCUACGCUUGUGGUUUUCUGCCAGGUAACCUUCAGUGAUGGAGGUUCGCUGGGGCUCACAAAUGUCUCUCCUCAGCGAGGACAGCUUUUUAAU
This 217-nucleotide unclassified non-coding RNA is filed under the name uncultured Thelephoraceae. Its description in RNAcentral is "sequence contains ITS2". The record is from RNAcentral. Lineage: Eukaryota; Fungi; Basidiomycota; Agaricomycetes; Thelephorales; Thelephoraceae.